UUCCAACCUGGCUUUAACUAAGACGAUGAAGCUGGAGAGCAAAAGGGAACAAAAAUCUGGAUGGAUGGACCGACCCGGCGCGGAUUAGUUGUUGGUGAAGGCGCUCCUCCAAUGAAAUCUUGUCUGUUCUCUGAUUUGGCGGUUCUUCUGAGCAAAUAUGACAGCCCUUUCUCUAGACGCCUUUCAGUUCCUCUCCACGUCUAUUCCCCAGAGCCCAGCUCUCUAGCCGCAGUUUCUACAUCAGAGCUUUCACAAAUGCCAGCGGCACCACCACCCAGUCCCACUCCUGCAAGUUUAUGAUUACUACAAGGGUGAGGAGAUUUGUUGGGAAGAACACAAAGUUGCUUUUCGAUGGCUGAAGAUGCUUAAGUUCAGUUUUUCCAGGUGUUCUAUUGAAAAUGAAUUCACCUUUGCUUUCCUUAUUCCAUUAUUUCUGGAAUAAGUAGAGUGGUUUGAAUCUCCGGCAGUCACUGUGCUUCAGGAUGAUUGGAGAGUUUCUGCAGACAGAAGGGGCACUUGCAGAAAAAUGCA
Long non-coding RNA from Condylura cristata (star-nosed mole), 531 nucleotides. RefSeq lists it as uncharacterized. NCBI's taxonomy places the organism in Eukaryota, Metazoa, Chordata, Mammalia, Eulipotyphla, Talpidae. The transcript has 3 exons. The record is from RefSeq and is a predicted model, not a curated record.